CUGGUGAUCUCUGUUAUCUUGGAGGAGAGUGGAGGCGAGAUGUUGCUUUUGCUGGGUUUGAAGUUCCCAUACAAAUGGAUGUUUCUGCAGAGAAAAUGAUAUUUGGUGUAGCAGGAAUUGAUCCUCAGAGAAGAGCUGAACUGAUCAAGGUAUUAGAUAUUGAUCUGUCGUGGAGGAUGCACAAGGUUUCUGAUGGUCAAAGAAGAAGAGUGCAAAUUUGCAUGGGUCUCCUUAGGCCAUUUAAGGUUCUUCUUCUUGAUGAGAUAACAGUUGACCUUGAUGUGCUGGCAAGGGCUGACCUUCUGAAGUUUCUAAGAAAGGAAUGUGAAGAAAGAGGUGCCACAAUAAUUUACGCAACACAUAUAUUUGAUGGGUUAGAGGAGUGGCCAACACAUAUUGUGUAUGUGGCUCAUGGGAAGUUACAGUUAGCAAUGCCAAUGGCAAAAGUCAAGGAGAUUAGUAAUUUAUCACUUAUGAGGACAGUAGAGAGCUGGCUGAGGAAAGAAAGAGAUGAGGAGAGGAAGAGAAGAAAAGAAAGAAAGGCAAGUGGUCUUCCAGAAUUUGAAAAACAAAUGGAGGGAAGUCGAGUUACUGGUGAUCCAGCUUCUGCUGCUGUUCGUGCUAUGAACAAUGGUUGGGCUGCUGGUAGACUGCACUCAACCAUUGCAGGUGAAGAGAACUUCUUCUUAAGCUCAAACAGAGUUUUGAGACAGUAGGCAAAAUCUUCUGAUAAAACAGUUAGUUCAAAAGGUCCCCGUUUGUUACACGUGAUCUCAAAUUGAUUCGCAUAUCCUUGAAAUAUAACUGGCAAGUGGCAAGUUAGUUCACAAGUUUUUCUGCAGCAAACAUUUGAAAAAGAAAAAUUAAUGCAAGCAACAGCUUGUAUCAUUGUAUUCAUUUAGUUAAAAUCCAUAUACAAUGGAUAAAUGAUUCAUUAUGAAUAAAUAAAGUUGCCAAUAUUUGAAGGGUUUUUUUCCCCUUG
Molecule: unclassified non-coding RNA, 982 nt
Filed under: Hevea brasiliensis (rubber tree)
Lineage: Eukaryota; Viridiplantae; Streptophyta; Magnoliopsida; Malpighiales; Euphorbiaceae
Source: RNAcentral